AUUGAACGCUGGCGGCAGGCCUAACACAUGCAAGUCGAGCGGAUGACGGGAGCUUGCUCCUUGAUUCAGCGGCGGACGGGUGAGUAAUGCCUAGGAAUCUGCCUGGUAGUGGGGGACAACGUUUCGAAAGGAACGCUAAUACCGCAUACGUCCUACGGGAGAAAGCAGGGGACCUUCGGGCCUUGCGCUAUCAGAUGAGCCUAGGUCGGAUUAGCUAGUUGGUGGGGUAAUGGCUCACCAAGGCGACGAUCCGUAACUGGUCUGAGAGGAUGAUCUGUCACUAUGGAACUUAGACACGGUCCAGACUCCUACGGGAGGCAGCAGUGGGGAAUAUUGGACAAUGGGCGAAAGCCUUAUCCAGCCAUGCCGCGUGUGUGAAGAAGGUCUUCGGAUUGUAAAGCACUUUAAGUUGGGAGGAAGGGCAGUAAGCUAAUACCUUGCUGUUUUGACGUUACCGACAGAAUAAGCACCGGCUAACUCUGUGCCAGCCGCCGCCGUAA
RNAcentral lists this ribosomal RNA (500 nucleotides) under uncultured bacterium. Its description in RNAcentral is "partial 16S ribosomal RNA". It matches the Rfam family "Bacterial small subunit ribosomal RNA", at positions 30 to 523 of the family's 1533-position model. The record is from RNAcentral.